RNAcentral lists this long non-coding RNA (1024 nucleotides) under Olea europaea subsp. europaea. The record is from RNAcentral. Lineage: Eukaryota; Viridiplantae; Streptophyta; Magnoliopsida; Lamiales; Oleaceae.
CUCAAGUUGAGGCUAAAAAUUCGGAGUAUGACUUCUUUGGCUAAAAAUUGAUUUGUGCAAAUACUUCAACUCUAUUUCACUCCUUUGACCUCGAAAUUACAUACAAUUGAUCAUAUGUGAUCUCCAAUCAUCAUUUUAUGGUGAUUGGAUUAAAUGUCUUCAAUAUAGUAAUGAAAUACAACAAAUUCAAUCAAAUCACAUUCUAAGUCAAUUUAUACCACUCAACAAUAAAAUAUAGUUCUCCAGGAAACUACAACUCAAACACACGUCUUUGAUAAUUGCUCUUGAAAUUAUGCUACUAUUUCCUCCAUCCGUGCUAGCAAGAGUGCAGAAGGAUAAUGUAUCUACAAAUUACCUCGUCCUAGUAUCUGACAAACUGUCUUGUGUUGCCUUUCCUACCGUAUGGAUUUUUCUCACUGAACCCAUUUUGUUUGCCUUCGACUCUUUUCACCUUCUUGAAUUUUGAUGCUCUAUUGUCUAUGUUCAAGUUUACUUUCGGAGGAGAUGAUAAACAGAAUGAAGCAACUAUAGCCUGCAGCCUCAGUUUUGCUGACAGCCGCAGUGUAAGGGUUUAAUUCUUGAGAUAUGGAAUUGGACUCUUUGUGGGCACAGUGUACGGGCAAACUCUUGUUCCUUGGUCUGUUGGGACACAUCCUGCGAUUUACCUCCCUCACGAUACGCUAAAAGCGGGGUAGUGGGGCCCUCAAGGUUGAGGAUCAACCUUUUUUUUAAGAGUGCAGAAGGAUAGUUGUUCAGAACAUGCAAAUCAAUAUAAGAGGAUUGCUUGUGUGGUUAAAACGUAGGGAAAAGUUAUGGGGAAACAUAAAAAAUAUUCUCAAUAUCAGCUAAAAAAUUGUGAGCACAAUGUUAGUGUACUACCUUCACACAGAAGGUUAGUGGAUACACAUGCACUAUAUAUAUGUAGUUCAAGACUUUGUCGUGAUGGGUGACCUACCACCAUAAAAUUAUAUGCAAGAAAAAUGUCUAGUUUAAAAUAAUGGUAUGGCUACAAAAUUAUGAGUUG